RNAcentral lists this ribosomal RNA (554 nucleotides) under Robustosergia robusta. Its description in RNAcentral is "partial large subunit ribosomal RNA". It matches the Rfam family "Bacterial large subunit ribosomal RNA", at positions 1831 to 2625 of the family's 2925-position model. Lineage: Eukaryota; Metazoa; Arthropoda; Malacostraca; Decapoda; Sergestidae. The record is from RNAcentral.
GUCUGUGCGAAGGUAUGUAGAGUCUGGCCUGCCCACUGACUUAGUUUGUUUAAAGGGCCGCGGUAUUUUGACCGUGCGAAGGUAGCAUAAUCAUUAGUCUUUUAAUUGAAGGCUUGUAUGAAUGGUCGGACAAAAAGUAAGCUGUCUUCAACUGUAAAAAUUGAAUUUGACUUUUAAGUGAAAAGGCUUAAAUAAUACAAAGUGACGAUAAGACCCUAUAAAGCUUUAUAGUGUAAUCUUUUAUUAUAAAUUAUGAAAUCGUAUAACUUAGUUUAAGACAAAACUCUUUCGUUGGGGCGACGAAAAUAUAAUGAAAUAACUGUUUUUGUUUAAAUAAAACAAAUAUAUUUGGUUUUAAUGAGUGAUCCUUUUUUAAAGAUUAAAAGAUUAAGUUACUUUAGGGAUAACAGCGUAAUCUUCUUUGAGAGUUCAUAUCGACAAGAAGGGUUGCGACCUCGAUGUUGAAUUAAGGUUCCUCCGUGGUGUAGCAGCUGCGGUUGGAGGUCUGUUCGACCUUUAAAUCCUUACAUGAUUUGAGUUCAGACCGGCGUAAG